This 253-nucleotide ribosomal RNA is filed under the name uncultured bacterium. RNAcentral's name for it is "partial 16S ribosomal RNA". It matches the Rfam family "Bacterial small subunit ribosomal RNA", at positions 524 to 776 of the family's 1533-position model. The record is from RNAcentral.
UACGGAGGAUGCAAGCGUUAUCCGGAAUGAUUGGGCGUAAAGCGUCCGCAGGUGGCUGUGUAAGUCUGCUGUCAAAGAGCGAAGCUCAACUUCGUAAAGGCAGUGGAAACUACACGGCUAGAGUGCGUUCGGGGCAGAGGGAAUUCCUGGUGUAGCGGUGAAAUGCGUAGAGAUCCGGAGGAACCCCAGAGGCGAAGGCGGCGCCCUGGCUCGCAACUGACGCUCAGACACGACAGCAUGGGGAGCGAACGGG